AGUGAACGCUGGCGGCAUGGUUAAGACAUGCAAGUCGAACGAAAAGCAUAACUUCGGUUAUGUGGAAAGUGGCGAACGGGUGCGUAACACGUGAGCAACCUGCCCUUGAGUAUGGAAUAGCCCGCCGAAAGGCGGAUUAAUGCCGUAUGUGGCCUUUCAUCGCAUGGUGAAAUGGCUAAAGCUUGUAAUGGCGCUCAAGGAUGGGCUCGCGGCCUAUCAGCUUGUUGGUGAGGUAAUGGCUCACCAAGGCUAAGACGGGUAGCUGGUCUGAGAGGAUGAUCAGCCACACCGGGACUGAGACACGGCCCGGACACCUACGGGUGGCAGCAGUUUCGAAUCAUUCACAAUGGGCGAAAGCCUGAUGGUGCAAUGCCGCGUGGAGGAUGACGGCCUUAGGGUUGUAAACUCCUGUCAUUGGGGAGCAAUAAGCAGGUUUAUAGCCUGCCCUGAGUUAACCCAAAGGGGAAGAGGUGGCUAACUCCGUG
RNAcentral lists this ribosomal RNA (485 nucleotides) under uncultured bacterium. Its description in RNAcentral is "bacterial SSU rRNA". It matches the Rfam family "Bacterial small subunit ribosomal RNA", at positions 29 to 507 of the family's 1533-position model. The record is from RNAcentral.